Felis catus (domestic cat) is the source of this 513-nucleotide long non-coding RNA. RefSeq lists it as uncharacterized. NCBI's taxonomy places the organism in Eukaryota, Metazoa, Chordata, Mammalia, Carnivora, Felidae. The record is from RefSeq and is a predicted model, not a curated record. The transcript has 2 exons.
GUCUCAUUCAGGGCCCUUGUUUCUUUAUUGACCGUGUGUCUAGAUGAUCUAUCCAUUUCUGAUUUGGGUCAUCUCCAGGAUAGUAGCAGGAGAGCUGCAGAAGCUGGCUCCCAGCCUGGGAGCAUGGAUUCCUGUAUACUUGUUCUGCUGGACACAAGUUCUCUCAGUAGCAGACCUACCUCUCUGUCAUCAUCACAUGGCUGCCAAUUCAUCCUUGUAGCCCUUUCAUGAUCCACCCUGGUGGAACAAGGACAAACAAGAGGUGGGGAGAGGUAAAAAUGUAGCCUUUUCUAGAAGAAACGACAACGACAACCCCACCCCCCAGGAUGUUUGGGGGAAUAAAUAUACAUAGUAAGCCUGAAACAUCUUUUCAUACCAGAGAGCAAGAAAGCCAUGCAAGACUUUGGGGAUUGUGUUGAAAAGAUUUAGGAGCCAACUUGAAGGACUCUCACUGGCCAAAGAAGGGUGAUUUGAGAAUCACAAAGAAUAUAAUUGUGAAUAGAUUGAAGUGUA